UUCCUACGGGAGGCAGCAGUGGGGAAUAUUGCACAAUGGGGGAAACCCUGAUGCAGCAACGCCGCGUGGGGGAAGGAGCGUUUCGGCGCGUAAAGCCCUGUCAGCGGGGAAGAAGAAAGACGGUACCCGACCAAGAAGCCCCGGCUAACUACGUGCCAGCAGCCGCGGUAAUACGUAGGGGGCGAGCGUUAUUCGGAAUUACUGGGUGUAAAGGGAGCGUAGACGGCGAGGUAAGCCUGAAGUGGAAGCCCGGGGCCCAACCGCGGAACUGCUUUGGGACCGGUUUUGCUGGAGUGUGGGGGGGG
This 305-nucleotide ribosomal RNA is filed under the name uncultured bacterium. RNAcentral describes it as "partial 16S ribosomal RNA". It matches the Rfam family "Bacterial small subunit ribosomal RNA", at positions 336 to 657 of the family's 1533-position model. The record is from RNAcentral.